GACCGUUGUCGACGUCUUCUCUAACCCAAUUCAUAAAGCGCACGUUUAUUUGAAUGUAAUAUUAGCUUUGGGUGCUCAUGUUUCCUAUACUGGUCUUCUAUUUCCUUUGAAGUGUGGAUGUCUGCUUUUCUUUGCACAUUACAUUUUGAUAUAAGUCAUGUUCAACUUUUUAAUAGAAUGGUCGAUCCACUCGAAGUAAAUGUCAAUGGAUGCAUUUUUUGGAGUUUCGGACAUGGUGCGGCAACAUUUUUGGGGAUCCCCUGCAACAUAGCAAAUUUGAAGGUUGGAUUUUCACUUUUGAAGUCAAACUUAAUUACUUCUAUUGCUCUUUAUGCAACUUCAAUGCACAAGUUGUUAAGGUUCACCUGACAUGAAUUUGGAUCAAGGGAUAUUUAGUUAUUGAUUCGUUAGAGGAAAAAACAUAAAAAGUUUAAAAAGCAAAGUUUUUAGAUAAAAGGAUGUUAUAUCUAGGCAUAAAUAAUGAAAAUAGCAAUACUCCUAUUAGUUUUCAAUGAGGCUUACUGAUAAAUGUAUGUAGCUAUACCUUGCGACGAGUUCGUGUUCGAGGAGAUCCUUUGGUUCGUCUCCCGAUCCGGAUCGGGUAACAGGAACCGUUUGUUUGACAUUGUGGAUUUUCAGAAAUCCUUCCAUGCAAUUUACAGGAAUAAUGUAGAGAGUUCUGGUGAAUCUCGGCCGUUACUUGGUGGAUCUACUGAAAAAUUAGUGUGUUAAAAGAUUAGAAAAUUUGUCGUCUUGCAAAAGGAGAUGGCGAAAAGAAGGACUUCGAGGACUUAGUCAUCCUGAGUUGUUUUGGUAACGGACGCCAGAUUGUAAAGAGUGUCUGUUAUUCUUUUCUCAAUUUCACAUUAUAUUCUCUUAAAUGUUCAGAAAAAGUUUGUAAUAGCAUGCCGUUAUUUUAGCUGAGGAUAUUCCAAAAUACAUGGAGAGAAUACCUUCAGUGAGCAAGAUGUUUCCACCUAUUUCAAUCAAUUUGGACCAGUCCAAGAUGCUAGGAUUCCUUGUCAACACAAGAGAAUGUUUGGAUUUGUAACCUUUUUUUUUUUUCUCUUUUCCCAGAGACAGUUAAGCAGAUCUUGGCAAAGGGGAAUCCUUAUUUAGUUUGUGGAGCACGUGUUUUGGUGAAACCUUACAAGGAAAAGCCUAAGGAUCGAGAUAGUGGUCAAGGAUUGAAUCUUCCAGAUAGCCCUUUUGCAUCUCCAAUAAGGAAUGGCAUUUCAACUGUCACUUAGGUUUAAAAAUACACAAGGAUUACUGAAGACUGAUUUUUGGAAAAGCAGUUAGUUAGUUCGACACACAAAAGUAUCCUACCUAUUUCCAUAGAAACAGCAAUUAAAAUGGUUGCUCAGUAGAAAGCACAAGAAGUUUAAAUUUCUUUCUUUGUUUUAGGUGGACAUGAUAAGAAAAUGAUAUAGAAAAAGAAUCCCAACAUGUAACAAGUUGAAAUAGGUUUUCUGCUUUGAUCUGAAGUUAAUGAUAUGGAGCAUGCAGGCUUGAGGCUUGCAGGUUUUAGAAUUUAAAAUGUAAUUAUGGUCUCUUUCUAAGUUUGAUGAAGAAGAAAAUAGGAGCAGAUAGAACUCUCUGCUACUAAACCCUCAGGGGUUGGCCUGGUGGCAAUUGACUUGAGCCUUGGGGUGCUCCCUUUCAAGGUCUCAAGUUCGAAACCCGCUGGGUGCAAACAAUUUCUGAGGGCCAUCGGACUGGGGAAACCCUGAAUUACCCGUGGUGCACUUGCGGGAAACUCCUUGCCGAGGGCCUGUGCACCCCCGGGAUUAGUCGGGGCUCAAAGAGACUCGGACACCCGGUGCUUAAUCAAAAAAAAAAAGAACUCUCUGCUACUAAACACCAAUGCAGACUGUUUUAUGGCAUUUAAGUUCUCAAUGUUGUCGCUGGACCUCUUCUCUUGAGCAUUGUUAUUUAUACCAAGUCAUUAAUUCAUUUGUUUUUAUUAUGUACUACAUAAAUACAUGAAAGUCAUCUAACAACUUCGCUGAAUGGGAGACCCAAAUGGGGUAUAGCCGUAAAUCAGUUCAAAGAAACCAUUAGUACUAUGUAAUGUUUAGUACAUAGGAAAAAUUAGUGAAGCGUAUUUCUUAACUGCCUAAAUUUUUUCCUGUCAUUGUCUUUUUAGGAUUUAUGGUGAUGAAAUGUAGUGUACCUCAAAUGAUAACAUAAAAUGCCAGGACCAAACUAAAAAAUGGCAAAGAAAGCAUAGUUUCUAAUAUGUUGCUAUAACUGCUUUUGUAACAUGAAAAUGAUACGUUUCUGAGCAGAAACAAACAUUAGUUGAAUGCAUUAGAGUAGAAGUGAAGAAAUGGCAGAUUUUACAUUGAUGUCGUGCUUUAUGCUUUGAGCUUUGAGCUUUGAGCUUUGAAUUGGUUAACAAAGGAAUAUUACUUGGAGAAUGCCUCAGCUAUGUUAUAUUAGUUUAUAUGUACGAAGAUAACUGAAGGUGACCUUACAUUACUCUUUAAUUCUGUUUUUACUUUCUGGAGGCAGCCAAGAUAAUGUUUUUGAAGCCUGAAAGGUCCUGUUAUUAGCCUUUAAUAAUUUGUGGCCUACUAAAUAAAAAAGUUAAUAAUUUGAUUUCAUUCCCUCUUAGCUAUUGGCUCCUUUUAUUAGACCUGAUUAUUGGCUUGAUUUGGUUUCUUUUUCUAAUGGUUUACUGGCAGCCACGGGUUCUAUCAUUUUCUUUAGUUUAUGUCGGGAAUAAGAAGACACCAACUACUUUUGCUGCUUUGCGUUACCUGUAUUAUUUUAUUUUUUUGGCUUCUUGAUAAAUGUUAUGUAUGAGUUGCUGGAAUCUAGAAAUAUAUUACGAUACAUCUUUACAGACUGUAAAUCUGAAAGGGAAAUUAAGGCUUUUGAUACUAGGGUCACAAGACAAGGACUAAAAAGGAAAGAAACAGAUGAGAUAAAAUCUAAAACUUAGAUGGGGGGAAGUGUCAUUGGCCUUGAGCUACUAUUUGAGUGUCUAGAGGUUCCUUGAAGUGGAUGUAGACAUCAGAAACUUCUGGUGGUCAAGAAGUGCUUUCAACUAUUAGAGUUCGUACGCUUUAGCAAUCACUGAUACUUUUUUGAGCUUUAACUUUGCUGUUUAUCGUUUUAGUUGAAAGGUACAGACUUGAUCAAUAUUUGCUAAAUUCAAGUUUUAAGUAUCAUAGUAUUUUUUGUGAUUGGGUAACACCAGAACACAAUUUAUAAUGGUUCUUGGAACAUGGCUUCUCUAUUAUUAAUCAUAAUAUUGAAUUAUUUCUAAGAAAUUUUAUUUAUUUCAAACUAUUAAUCACUUAACCGACUUCGUUAAAUAUAAGUCCAGAACAAAAAUAAUGAGAAUAGAGGAAGUAUGUAACUUCAUGAGACUGAUACUACAUUUGGCCAGCUUAGGUGUUAGUGCACUAUCAGACAAGGUUCAUAUUUCAGGCAUAAAUUUAUGUAUCUUCUGCAUCAUUUCUUAAUUUCGUGGUAUGAAGUGUCCUACUUGAGCUAAAUUGAUGUUCAGCUUGCUGCACUACCACAGCCGACAUGCUUUAAGGAAGAAUGCAGGAAAAUAGACAAGAAAAUUCUACAAAGAUCGUUGCACAUGUCCUCGACUUUCUAUGUUUAAAUCUACCAAAAUGGACAUCAUGUACUUCUCCGGGAUAACUAUUACCUCAGAAAAUUCAGACCAUCUAAAUUUUUGGCUUCACAAAGUGAAUGUAUUAGUUGUGACUUGUAACUUCGCAUGCUUGGUCUUCCUUUUUCAGAUUGGAUUUACCUGGAAGAUAAGUAUAUCUUGUAUGAAGAUGUUUUGAGAUGGAGGGAGAUGGAUUGUCAUCAAGUUUGUAGCUCUAUUGGAUUUUUAUAAAUAUUAUCAUGGGAAGCCACCUUUUACCAAAUUUGCUAUUGGCAUCUUGCAAUUUGCCGGAUGGUCUUUUGGUCCAAGUGAAAAUGCAGAUGAAGGAAAUUGCUGCUUUCCUGGCCAUGUUGGUAGCAAAACUACUUGUGGUUAUGGAGUCGCCACUGGUGGACCACUGGCUUGGGGUUUGUGCUAUAACAAGGAAAUGAGUCCGAGCCAAGAUUACUGUGAUGAUUACUUCAAAUUAACCUACCCAUGCACUCCUGGAGCUCAAUAUUAUGGUCAUGGUGCCUUUCCUAUCUACUGAUACCUGAAGGAGAAUUGAAUGCAAAUCAGGAGAAGAUCUACAAAGUGAAUAUAUUCAUGAUCAACUUAAAGAGUUUGAGCUGCAUGAUCGUGUUGGAAAUUCAUAUUGUAGAAGUUAGAAUUGUUAGUCCAUUCUCAGCAGGUGAAUCCUGGUACUAUUAAUGUGGCCUUCACAAAACACACUCAAUGUCAAGUCCGAAAAAACAUGGGGAUUGCAAUAGCUUGAUGGGCAGAUCUUGAUAGAUCAAGUGCCUAUGUGCAAGGAUUCAUAUAUGUGCAUGCCCGUCAAUUGCGCUUCAAUACAUAAGGAAGUGGAAGAAAAUUAUGCAAGUGUGAAUCAUACAAUUCAGGUUGAGAUGAAAAAAACUUCAUUUAACAACUGUUUUAUUCUUCGAGUCAAUAAGCAAAAGGAGGACUAGAUUGGAGUGUGUUUUCGCACCUGAUAGUUUGGUACAAAAAUACUUUUACAUUGUUUGGUUAACUCAAGCCUUUGAGGUUGUCUUUGUAAUGUGCAAUGUGGACUGCUAUAGCCACAAAUCAUGGUUCUUUAGGUGUUGUUUUAGUUUGCAGUUGUGCCAAAGUAAUGUUUCAUUCCAACAAUCAUUACUUGGACAAGUGAUGGCAACUUACAAUUAUGUUCUAUUGUGAUGCUAUAUUGUAAGCAAGACAAGGCUAUCCGGGAAUCAAAUAAAAAUUACAUCCUGCAUUUGUAUUUA
This is a long non-coding RNA of Lycium ferocissimum, 4878 nucleotides long. RefSeq lists it as uncharacterized. Lineage: Eukaryota; Viridiplantae; Streptophyta; Magnoliopsida; Solanales; Solanaceae. The transcript has 9 exons. The record is from RefSeq and is a predicted model, not a curated record.